AGUAGUGCGUAAAUUCUUGUUGAUAGCAUUACUACCGAUUUCAUCCUCGUAAUAAUAUACAUUUGUUUAUGAACACUGUAAAUAUGUAUUUGUUUUUGUAUGCUCAUAAGUAGCAUGCAUUUUUAUACGACUGCAAAAUUUUGCGUUCGUAUUAAAUUAUGGCAGUUUUCUGCGUCGUCGUACGAAGACAUUUUGGUUUCCAGACAAUUACUUGAGUAUAAGUGUAUGGAUAUCUAUGAAAUUGUAGCACAGGGUUGCAUACCACAAUAGGAAUGUUGGGAUUGAUUUUGGGGAUUAUUGUCUUUGCUGUUUAGGAAUGAGGGGUCAAAAUAGUACCAAAAACAAGCAUUUUUGUCGAGCCUGCGACUUUUGUCGCAGAAAGCUCGACAUAGGGAUAGCGAUCCGGCGGCGGCGGCGUUAGCUAACUUCUUAAAAGCUUUAUAUUUUAGAAGAUGGAAGACCUGGAUGCUUCAUACUUUGUAUAUGGAUGCCUCAUGUUACGAAGUUUCCGUCAGUCACAUGUCCAAUGUCCUUGACCUCAUUUUCAUGGUUCAGUGACUACUUGAAAAAAAAGUUCAGAUUUUUUGUAAUGUUAAAUUCUCUCUUAUUAUAAGUAAUAGGAUAACUAUAUUUGGUAUGUGCGUACCUUGCAAGGUCCUCAUGCCCGUCAGACAGUUUUCACUUGACCUCGACCUCAUUUCAUGGAUCAGUGAACAAGGUUAAGUUUUGGUGGUCAAGUCCAUAUCUCAGAUACUAUAAGCAAUAGGUCUAGUAUAUUCGGUGUAUGGAAGGACUGUAAGGUGUACAUGUCCAACUGGCAGGUGUCAUCUGACCUUGACCUCAUUUUCAUGGUUCAGUGGUUAUAGUUAAGUUUUUGUGUUUUGGUCUGUUUUUCUUAUACUGUAUGCAAUAGGUCUACUAUAUUUGGUGUAUGGAAUGAUUGUAAGGUGUACAUGUCUAGCUGGCAGGUGUCAUCUGACCUUGACCUCGUUUUCAUGGUUCAGUGGUCAAAGUUAAUUUUUUGAGUUUUGGUCUUUUUUUCUAAUACUAUAUGCAAUAGGUCAACUAUAUUUGGUGUAUGGAAAAAAUAUAUGAUCUAUAUGUCAGUCGCGCUGGUUUUAUAUGACCUUGACCUCAUUUUCACGGUUCAUUGCUCAGUGUUAAGUUUUUGUGUUUUGGUCUGUUUUUCUUAAACUAUAAGCAAUAGGUCAACUAUAUUUGUUAUAUGGAAGAAUUGUUAACUGUACAUGUCUGCCUGGCAUGGUUCAUCUGACCUUGACCUCAUUUUCAUGGUUCAUUGGUCAAUGUUUAGUUUUCUUGGUUAAUGUUAAGUUUAUGUGACAGUUGUAAUAAAGCUUUAUAUUUAGGACUAUCAACAUAAUAUCAAUGAUUAGUAAAGAAGGCGAGACAUUUCA
Long non-coding RNA from Mytilus californianus (California mussel), 1415 nucleotides. RefSeq lists it as uncharacterized. NCBI's taxonomy places the organism in Eukaryota, Metazoa, Mollusca, Bivalvia, Mytilida, Mytilidae. The transcript is spliced from 2 exons. The record is from RefSeq and is a predicted model, not a curated record.